RNAcentral lists this ribosomal RNA (458 nucleotides) under uncultured Anoxybacillus sp. Its description in RNAcentral is "bacterial SSU rRNA". It matches the Rfam family "Bacterial small subunit ribosomal RNA", at positions 923 to 1382 of the family's 1533-position model. The record is from RNAcentral. Lineage: Bacteria; Bacillati; Bacillota; Bacilli; Caryophanales; Anoxybacillaceae.
GCACAAGCGGUGAGCAUGUGGUUUAAUUCGAAGCAACGCGAAGAACCUUACCAGGUCUUGACAUCCCCUGACAACCCGAGAGAUCGGGCGUUCCCCUUCGGGGGACAGGGUGACAGGUGGUGCAUGGUUGUCGUCAGCUCGUGUCGUGAGAUGUUGGGUUAAGUCCCGCAACGAGCGCAACCCUCGACCUUAGUUGCCAGCAUUCAGUUGGGCACUCUAAGGUGACUGCCGGCUAAAAGUCGGAGGAAGUGGGGAUGACGUCAAAUCAUCAUGCCCCUUAUGACCUGGGCUACACACGUGCUACAAUGGGCGGUACAAAGGGUCGCGAACCCGCGAGGGGGAGCCAAUCCCAAAAAGCCGCUCUCAGUUCGGAUUGCAGGCUGCAACUCGCCUGCAUGAAGCCGGAAUCGCUAGUAAUCGCGGAUCAGCAUGCCGCGGUGAAUACGUUCCCGGACCUU